Molecule: ribosomal RNA, 373 nt
Filed under: uncultured bacterium
Lineage: Bacteria
Description: bacterial SSU rRNA
Rfam family: Bacterial small subunit ribosomal RNA
Source: RNAcentral
UACGGAGGGUGCAAGCGUUGUCCGGAUUUAUUGGGUUUAAAGGGUGCGUAGGUGGCUCAUUAAGUCAGUGUUUAAAGUCAACAGCUCAACUGUUGGAAUGGCAUUGAUACUGAUGAGCUUGAGUAAAGUUGAGGUAGACAGAAUUGAUGGUGUAGCGGUGAAAUGCAUAGAUAUCAUCAAGAAUACCGAUUGCGAAGGCAGUUUACUAAGCUUUAACUGACACUGAGGCACGAAAGUGUGGGGAUCAAACAGGAUUAGAUACCCUGGUAGUCCACACUGUAAACGAUGAUUACUCGAUGUUAGCGAUAUUACAGUUAGCGUCUUAGCGAAAGCGUUAAGUAAUCCACCUGGGGAGUACGACCGCAAGGUUGAA